Molecule: transfer RNA, 74 nt
Filed under: Yersinia phage fHe-Yen9-04
Lineage: Duplodnaviria; Heunggongvirae; Uroviricota; Caudoviricetes
Also listed under: 1 other name
Description: tRNA-Arg-TCT
Rfam family: tRNA
About the family: Transfer RNA (tRNA) molecules are approximately 80 nucleotides in length. Their secondary structure includes four short double-helical elements and three loops (D, anti-codon, and T loops). Further hydrogen bonds mediate the characteristic L-shaped molecular structure. tRNAs have two regions of fundamental functional importance: the anti-codon, which is responsible for specific mRNA codon recognition, and the 3' end, to which the tRNAs corresponding amino acid is attached (by aminoacyl-tRNA synthetases). tRNAs cope with the degeneracy of the genetic code in two manners: having more than one tRNA (with a specific anti-codon) for a particular amino acid; and 'wobble' base-pairing, i.e. permitting non-standard base-pairing at the 3rd anti-codon position.
Source: RNAcentral
CUCCUGUUAGCUCAAUUGGAUAGAGCAACAAACUUCUAAUUUGUAGGUUACUGGUUCGAAUCCAGUAUGGGAGA